CUGGUGUUGACUGACCUUAAAAUGACUGUUGCUCAGUUUAACUCUGAGUUCCUGGACAACAGUCAAAAAGAUGCCCAUGAGUUCCUCAGCUGUGUGCUGAAUAUGAUCAAGGAGCUGUCCUUUGAUCUGCAGGCAGAAGCAGCGAUCAUGGACAUCACCUACACCUGCCCUGUUGGUGCUCAUAUUUCAUUUGAAAUGUUGAGCACCAGGACCUGCCAGGGUUGUGGAUGUGAAUCCAUGAGAAAGGAGGAGUUCCUGAACCUCUCUUUGGAUCCGGUACCUGCAGGCUCAGUGAGCCAGUGUCUGCAGGAGUACCUGAAAGAGCGCAAGUUAGACUUCCAGUGUCCCUGUAGAGCUGGACAGUCGACGGAACGUCUCUCGUUUGUGACUUUGCCAAAUGUUCUGAUUCUCCAGCUAAAAAGAUUCACGUUCACCUCGACCUUCAGGCUGGAGAAGGUCAACACUCCUAUUCAACUGACCAGGGAGCUUGUGGUGAACCCAGAACACUCCCUCACUGCACAGACUGAGACUCGCUACUCUUUGGUGAGCAUCGUGAGUCAUUUGGGC
This is a long non-coding RNA of Amphiprion ocellaris (clown anemonefish), 567 nucleotides long. Lineage: Eukaryota; Metazoa; Chordata; Actinopteri; Pomacentridae. The record is from Ensembl.